AUGUUGGCAGUUGUUUUUAUGUUGAGUAACGAAACAGAGAUUCCUUCUCCAAAACAACCUGCAUUCCUCUUUAGAAAAUCUGACAAUUUCUGAAAUCGCUAGUCGCUGUGCUGUCUGAAAAAUUGCUAAUAUGAAGUUCCAUUAGAUUUGCUAACGAUAGUGAAUGCCUUUCCUCAAGACAGUCAGAACAAAUUAAUAUUUUAAAGCGGCAGAAAACAAUGGGACAUAUAUGUUGUGCAUCACAACAGAUAAAUAUCCAAAAUUUGAGCAUGUCCGGGCCAUGGCCCAUGAAAGUGCAAAACUCUCUUUCCAGUUUUUUAAGCAUUUUAUAUAUUAAAAAAAAAUUAAAAAAUGCAUUGAAAAAGACCGAUUAUCCGAUCCCACAAUUUCAAUAUCAAUUUUCUCCUUCUACUCAUUUGUCCAUUUUCACUUACAACAUGUUUGAAAUCAAAUAUAUAUUAUACAAGAUACCAAGCCAGUUAAAUGAUUAUUGUGAAUACAUCAACUCCUCAUUCCAUGUAGAAUUAACGAAGACCUCAACCCCAUGAAAAAAUUACAGAUAUGUCUUGAAUUAUUAUGGAUUAUAAUAGUGAUCAACUGAAAAACUUUGCCUAUCUUUUAAGGGUAAUGCAGUUUUUUUCACAUGCUACAUUGAUUGUUAUAAAAUUAAUUAUGAAAAUCUUGGUUUUUUUAUUGUUUUAUAUAGUAUAAUUAUUUAAAUACAUUUAAAUUAAAGUAAAAAAGAAAAAAAAAACUAUGCUCCUCAUGUUUAGAGGCAUUGUUUAUAUUUUAUAGCACAAUAAAAUGAAUAUAUUGUAGUUGAAAUCAAAAUCCUUUAACAUUGUCUCUAAGAGCGUGUUUGGCAGUGUGAUAGUGAUUGCUUUUCAAAUAAUUUUUCGUGUCAAAAUACAUGCAAUAAUGUUUUUUUAUUUUUUAAAAAUUAUUUUUGACAUCAGCACAUCAAAACGAUUCAAAAAAUACAAACCGUAUUAAAUUUCAGCAAAAAAAAAAAUAAUUUUUUAGGAACGCCGUUUCAACCGCAUUCUCAAACACUACCUAAGAGCUAAUUCGUACUUUCCUUUUUUUGUUGUUUUUAUUAUUAUGAUGUAGUCUUUGAGGUAAUUUAGUUUUUUAAUAAAUAUUAAAAAAAAAUAAAAAUGGUUGAUGCAUUAGUUGAAUAUGCUAGUGAGUAAGCCUCCCUAUCGUGUUUACAAUUAUAAAAAAUGACUUUCUUUGAUGUUUGGUGAUUCAUCAUAGAGCGACCCACCUUUUUAAACAACACGUGUGAUCUAUGUUUAUUUAGUUUGACCUUGAUUGGCUUUUCUUCUUGUUUUUUUCCUCAAUUUCCACACUAGCUUUCAAAAAUCUCACAAUCGCCAUUAAAUUUCUUCCUUUUUUUAAUUUGAUACUUAUCUUUUAAAUUGGUUUUAUCUUAUUUUAUUAUUUUGUAAAACUAAAAUUUAAUUUUUAAUUUCAAUUUCAUUCUCCUUUAAAUUUUAUAUAUCCAUCAAAUCUGAUACUCAUUUUUUAUGCUAUUAUUUUUAUUUAAGAUCAUUUUUAAUUUAUUUUUUUUAUUCCAUCCUUUAUUUUCUUAAUGCUACUAUUUUUUCUUUGACAAAUUGUUUACGAUAUUUUUUUAUUUCAUUCUUUAACAUUAAAUUGAGUUUUUUUAUUGAGUCUGGAUUUAGGAUUUAAUAGGUUAUGAAUUUGAGAAAUUAACCUAGGUUUAGAAGAUUUACUUUAGUUUAUUUUUGUUUUUUUUUGUUUUUAAACUAAAUAAAAAAAUUAAAUAGUUUAGUUUUUGGAUUUAAAACUAAUCAUACCCAUCAUGUCCUCCAUAGCACGUAUGUCAAUUCUUUUCCCUUUGUAAUAUUAGUAACAACAAAGUAUCAUUACUAAAUUUUUUUGUUUUUUUGAAUUUUACAAUCUCAAUUAUAUAAUUUAUGGUGUCAUUUAAGUUCUUUAAGGCCUCCAAACUAGUAUUAGAAUUACUAUUUUGAAAGUGAUUUAUAUUUUUUUCUCUUUAUUUUAGAAAUAUUUUAUUAAUUUUUAAGCUUUGUUGAGGGUGUUUUUCCUAAUAUAUAAUAGUCCGGAAGAUCUUUGAUAUUUAAAUUUGAUUAGAAAAAUAUUGAGUAAUAAAAGUUUGAAUUAUAACUAUUAUUAUGGUUGAUAUGUUUUUCGACACAAUUCUAUCUUUCCUUGUGUUUGUUGUUUUUUUUUAUGUUUGUUUCUACAACCUACUACAUAUUUCUAAAACUAGAGGACGGUGUCGUUUCCAAAAAUCUGGAUUGAUAUUUUAACAAAAACAAGUCAUUGCCUAGACUUCGAAGGUUGAAAAGACUAACUCACAAAAGAGAUGCCUGAUUCCGUCACGUAACUUCUCUGGAGACUUGUCUGAAGGCCAUAUCCAUUCUCCACGAAGCAAAAUUUAACACUUUUCCAGAAGCCAAGAUCCAGUUUGCCCCAUCAUGGAAGCUGGAAAACUGUUCUUGCUUUUUUCUCUUAUAACGCUCCAAUUCUCAUCUUGUACAUCCCAAGACUCCUUAAAGACCAACCAAACCAUUAAAGAAGGUGACCUUCUUAUCUCCGAAGGAAAUAAUUUCGCACUAGGAUUUUUCAGUCCUGGCAGUUCUACCACUAGAUAUCUUGGAAUUUGGUACCAUAAAGUACCAGAAAAAACUGUGGUGUGGGUUGCGAACAGGAACGAUCCAAUCAUUAGUUCCUCUGGAUUUCUCUUUAUAGACCAAUAUGGGAACCUCGUUCUCCAUGGGAAAGAUGACCAAAAGCUUCCUGUGUGGUCUACAAAUGUUUCAGUGGAAGAAAAUGAUACUUGUGAAGCUCAACUCUUGGAUUCAGGAAAUUUGAUAUUGGUCAGGAAAAGAAGCAGAAAAACUGUAUGGCAAAGCUUCGAUUAUCCUACGAACAUCCUGCUUCCUGGAAUGAAACUGGGGCUGGAUCGAAAAAUAGGAAUUGAUCGGUUCCUAAAAUCAUGGAGAUCAGCUGAUGACCCUGGGUUCGGGGACUUUUCACUUAGGAUCAACCCAAAUGGCUCACCGCAAAUCUUUUUCUAUAAUGGUACAAAGCCAAUUAGUAGAUCCCCUCCUUGGCCAUGGAGAAGUCAAAUGGGCUUAUUCAACAGCACCUUAGUAAAUGAUCCAGAUGAAAUAUACUGGGUCUACACAGUUCCUGAUGAUUCUUAUCUGCUAAGAUUAAUAGUGGAUCAUCCAGGACAUGUAAAGGCUUUAACAUGGCGACAAAGUGAUGGUCAGUGGAAGGAAUACUGGAGGUCCCCUCAGUUCCACUGCGACUAUUAUGGAAAUUGUGGUGCUUAUAGUACGUGUGAACUCGCCAAUCUAAAUGAAUUUGAAUGUGCCUGUCUACCUGGGUUCGAACCCAAGUACCCAUUGGAAUGGUCUGCGAGAGAUGGGUCCGGUGGUUGUGUCAGGAAGCGGCUACAUACGUCUUCGGUGUGCCAGCAUGGUGAAGGGUUUGUGAAGGUGGAAAAUGUAGUUCUUCCGGAAAGUUCAGCUGCAGUUUGGGUGGAUAUGAGCAAGAGUCUUGCAGACUGCGAAGUGCAAUGCAAGAGGAAUUGCUCAUGCUCUGCAUACGCAAUCAUUGCAAUUCCCGGACAAAAUUAUGGUUGUUUGACAUGGUACAAGGAAUUAGUAGACAUUAAUUAUGUUAGGAGUGAAAGUCAUGAUCUGUAUGUUCGUGUUGAUGCAUAUGAAUUAGGUACCCUUUUUCUGCUCAGUACCUACUUCAUAGGAUUGUCAUUACAAAUAUUGAUUUAUAAUCGCCUUCCUAUGCUUGUCACGGCUCUUGACUGUAGUUAAAAGAUAUUGGUACAUUUUAGGUGCAAAAAGGGCUUCCCUUUGCAAUAUUUCCAUUGGAAAAUGGGGUGGUUUUUCCUAUAGAGUUAAAUCUUUAUUCUUUUCACUCUCGUGCAGCUGAAACUAAAAGGAAGUCAAAUGAUUCUCGAGAAAAACCGAUACUGGCCGUUUUAGUACCAUCAAUUGCAUUAUCGUGGUUUCUCGUUAGCCUGUUUGCUUAUUUGUGGUUCAAGAAGAGAGCAAAAAAAGGUACUGAACUGCAGGUAAACAGCACUUCUACUGAAUUGGAAUAUUUCAAGCUCAGCACCAUAACGGCGGCCACUAACAAUUUCUCUCCAGCUAACAAACUCGGGCAAGGUGGUUUUGGCUCUGUUUAUAAGGUUGAGUUUCUUGCAUUUAGCUAAAAACUAAUUGGCCUCUCUAAUUUGCAUAAUUUGCUUAAUCUUGUAAGAUGAUUUUAGGGCCUGCUGGCUAAUGGACUGGAGGUUGCAAUAAAAAGGUUAUCUAGAAGUUCAGCACAAGGAACAGAAGAAUUUAAAAAUGAGGUUAUGGUAAUUGCAAAGCUUCAACACAGGAAUCUAGUGAAACUUCUAGGUUACUGCAAUCAGGAUGCAGAACAAAUGUUAAUCUAUGAAUACUUGCCAAACAAAAGCUUGGACUCGUUUCUUUUCCGUAAGUCUCUUUAUGUUUUUAUUGCCCUGAUUUACACUAGUUGUCUGAAAAAUAAUUGUUUCAACAGAUGAAAGCAGAAGAUUGUUAUUGGAUUGGCGAAAACGCUUUGACAUUAUUGUUGGAAUAGCUCGUGGGAUAUUAUAUCUUCACCAAGACUCCAGGUUGAGAAUCAUCCACAGGGAUUUAAAAUGUAGCAACAUUCUACUGGAUGCAGAGAUGAACCCAAAAAUAUCAGAUUUCGGAAUGGCAAAAAUAUUUGAAGGCAACCGAACUGAAGAUAGGACAAGCAGAGUUGUCGGAACAUAGUAAGUACCUUUGCCUAGUACAAAGACCGAGUGACAAAGUACUAUCAUUGAUUACCAGGAAUACUAAAACUUCAGAUUCUUGUUUUUCUGAUGCAGUGGCUACAUGUCACCAGAAUAUGCUGUGUUUGGAAACUUUUCUGUAAAAUCAGAUGUUUUCAGUUUUGGGGUCAUGUUGCUAGAGAUUGUUAGUGGAAAGAAGAACAAUAGAUUUUAUCAACAGAAUCCUCCAUUGACCUUGAUUGGAUAUGUGAGUUAUAAGAAAGCCAUCUGAGCUCUUCGCUGAAUUUCAGUGAUCACAAUUUUCGAUGUUGUCUGCUCUUAUUUCUUGAAUGCUAAUGAUUUAUAUGAACAAAACAGGUGUGGGAAUUAUGGAGAGAAGACAAAGCAUUGGAGAUAGUUGAUCCAUCACUGAAGGAGUUGUAUCAUCCGCGUGAAGCCUUGAAAUGCAUACAAAUUGGUCUUCUGUGCGUGCAAGAAGAUGCCACGGACAGACCAUCUAUGUUGGCAGUUGUUUUUAUGUUGAGUAACGAAACAGAGAUUCCUUCUCCAAAACAACCUGCAUUCCUCUUUAGAAAAUCUGAUAAAUUUCCUGAUCUAGCAUUAGACGUAGAAGAUGGACAGUGUUCUCUAAAUGAGGUGACAAUUACUGAAUUCGCUUGUCGCUGAAGUUGUGCCGUCUGAAAAAUUGGUAAUAUGAAGUUCCAUUAGAUUUGAAAUGAAAAUACUUGUUGCUAAAUUGGGGAUUUGAGAUUUAACAGACACUACCACGAACAUUGGAGAUAGUUGAUUCAUCACUGGAGGAGUUAUAUUUUCCCCUAAAGGCCUUGAAAUGCAUACAAGUCGGUCUCUUGUUUUAUGUCAAGUAGUGAAAAAACAAUUCCUUCUCCUAAAUAACCUGCAUUCCUUUUGAUGCAGGAGCUAGAACUGUA
RNAcentral lists this long non-coding RNA (5736 nucleotides) under Populus tremula. RNAcentral's name for it is "long non-coding RNA (PTRE_LNC000640)". Lineage: Eukaryota; Viridiplantae; Streptophyta; Magnoliopsida; Malpighiales; Salicaceae. The record is from RNAcentral.